UAAGACAUAGUCGCUCCGUCCACAGAAUUCGCUGCUGGGGAUGAAAUCGUACUUUGGCUACCGCUACCUUGGGAUCAGAUGAAGUUGGUUAUGGCUUCCGCGUUAUUCGAAGUAUUAUUUCUUUAUUUAAAGACGUUUUCUGGUCUUCAGUCCAGAUGGUCACCUCCUACCCCUGCCUCCCAGGGGGCCCAGCUGAAUGUGUGGGAAAGAGUCAGGCAGGAGGCCACACAACGUGCAACCCUUUUGAGCCUCAGCGUGCUUCAAGGACUGGACUCUGGAUUUAAGACAAGCACUGCAUCCUGGGAAAGAUGGAGGUUUGGGUUUGCGGAGAACAUCACCAAGGAGUUAGCAAGCCAGUGAGGAGUGUCUGUGGUACAUGAAGCACUAGCCCAACCUGAGCUGACACUCUGAUGGAUGCAGACGUGUUUUGCACUGUUCUGUGUGUUUUUUUCCACUUAUCACUUGCCGGUUGUGUGUCACACUGUGGUCCUGGGCGAUGUUUUGCCACCGUAUACCUGUAUACAGUAUAGAUGGUAUGACAAUAAAGCCCACUUGUCUUAUCAUUAAACAAGCUACGCUAAA
This is a long non-coding RNA of Brienomyrus brachyistius, 582 nucleotides long. RefSeq lists it as uncharacterized. The transcript is spliced from 3 exons. NCBI's taxonomy places the organism in Eukaryota, Metazoa, Chordata, Actinopteri, Osteoglossiformes, Mormyridae. The record is from RefSeq and is a predicted model, not a curated record.